AUUUGGUGUGAAAACCCUAGGUCUUCUUACUAGAGUUUCGAGAAGAGAGAAAAGAGAGUUGAGGUAUCACCUCCACUUUUCUUCUACCACAUUCUCCUCCUAAUGAUCCUUCUUCAACUUCUGGAAGUAUUCGAGAGUUUUGAAGGAAGGAACCAGAUCAGCCUUCAAUAUGGACUUCACGCAAGCUAGUACUCCCAGAGAGGCCGAUCAGAUCGGAGCUUUGAGUAGACUAUCUGUA
Molecule: long non-coding RNA, 238 nt
Filed under: Elaeis guineensis (African oil palm)
Lineage: Eukaryota; Viridiplantae; Streptophyta; Magnoliopsida; Arecales; Arecaceae
Description: long non-coding RNA (EGUI_LNC032693)
Source: RNAcentral